Molecule: long non-coding RNA, 949 nt
Organism: Oncorhynchus nerka (sockeye salmon)
Lineage: Eukaryota; Metazoa; Chordata; Actinopteri; Salmoniformes; Salmonidae
Exons: 2
Source: RefSeq, a predicted model, not a curated record
UUUAUCUGCAAGGAGAGAAAAAAAAGGGACGUUAACCAUUAGCCUUUAAAUUCCUGCUCUGGUCUUCUACUUCAGUACAUUUCCACAGUCCACCAAUGACACAUCCCUGUCCGACAGCAUUGCCAAGCUGGUUUCCAUAACUGCACAUGAAAAGAAACAAAACAAUUCCAUCUGGGCGAGACCAGCCUCCGUGUCCUCAAGUCAAGAAUUACAUUGUGCUCAGUUGUCACAUUACUUCAACAACAAGACCAUGGUGCUUGCCUACGGAGCUGUGAGGGGAACGGCACCUCAGUACCUAAUGGCUCUGAUCAGGCCCUACACCCAAACAAGGGCACUGCGUUCAUCCACCUCUGGCCUGCUCACCUCCCUACCACUGAGGAAGUACAGUUCCCGCGCAGCCCAGUCAAAACUGUUCGCUGCUCUGGCCCCCCAAUGGUGGAACAAACUCCCUCACGACGCCAGGACAGCGGAGUCAAUCACCACCUUCCGGAGACACCUGAAACCCCACCUCUUUCAGGAAUACCUAGGAUAGGAUAAAGUAAUCCUUCUCACCCCCCCCCCCCUUAAAAGAUUUAGAUGCACUAUUGUAAAGUGGCUGUUCCACUGGAUGUCUUAAGGUGAACGCACCAAUUUGUAAGUCGCUCUGGAUAAGAGCGUCUGCUAAAUGACUUAAAUGUUAAAUGUUACUUACUGUCGUCUCUGUCUGCCUGCCUUUCUGUACGUGUCAGUCUGUACUUGUCCGUGAAUGACAUGUCAGUGAUCAAAGCGUGCAUACAUUUGCAGUCGUUACAGCUACAUAUUUUGUCUAGAUAGGUCAUGCUGGGGGCGAAGGCUAACUUGUCUGAAAUGGGACAACUAAUAGGUCAAUUUGUCAAACUGCACCUCUCCUGUAAACGUUUCAACUAAAGAGUCUUUUCGUGGUUAAAUUAAAAAUUCACUUGGCAGACAA